GAUGAACGCUAGCGGCAGGCUUAACACAUGCAAGUCGAGGGGUAACAGGGAAGAGCUUGCUUUUCCGCUGACGACCGGCGCACGGGUGCGUAACGCGUAUAGAACCUACCUUUUACAGGGGAAUAGCCCAGAGAAAUUUGGAUUAAUGCCCCAUAGUAUUAUUGAAUGGCAUCAUUUAAUAAUUAAACAUUUAUGGGUAAAAGAUGGCUAUGCGUUCUAUUAGCUAGAUGGUAAGGUAACGGCUUACCAUGGCAACGAUAGAUAGGGGUCCUGAGAGGGAGAUCCCCCACACUGGUACUGAGACACGGACCAGACUCCUACGGGAGGCAGCAGUGAGGAAUAUUGGACAAUGGAGGCAACUCUGAUCCAGCCAUGCCGCGUGCAGGAAGACGGUCCUAUGGAUUGUAAACUGCUUUUAUAUAGGAAGAAACCUUUCCACGUGUGGAAAGCUGACGGUACUAUAAGAAUAAGCACCGGCUAACUCCGUGCCAGCAGCCGCGGUAAUACGGAGGGUGCAAGCGUUAUCCGGAAUCAUUGGGUUUAAAGGGUCCGUAGGCGGACUAAUAAGUCAGGGGUGAAAUCCAACAGCUUAACUGUUGAACUGCCUUUGAUACUGUUAGUCUUGAGUUAUAUGGAAGUAGAUAGAAUAUGUAGUGUAGCGGUGAAAUGCUUAGAGAUUACAUAGAAUACCGAUUGCGAAGGCAGUCUACUACG
This 714-nucleotide ribosomal RNA is filed under the name Lutibacter sp. Its description in RNAcentral is "bacterial SSU rRNA". It matches the Rfam family "Bacterial small subunit ribosomal RNA", at positions 28 to 733 of the family's 1533-position model. The record is from RNAcentral. Lineage: Bacteria; Pseudomonadati; Bacteroidota; Flavobacteriia; Flavobacteriales; Flavobacteriaceae.